GCUGCUGCUGCUGCUGCAGCUUUCGAAGCUUGCAGCAGGAGACAUCUCAGGAGCCAUCAUCAUCAGGCACCGCUUCUUGGAUGGUGGUUGUGGUGGUGGUGGAGCUUGAGUUGCGGAUGGUGACUGCCCAAAAUUGAGCUUUGCCUUGUCUCCACGGAUGCGCUUCGCUGCCUCAUCAUAGGCUCUGGCAGCUUCUUCAGCUGUGUUAUAAGUACCGAGCCAGACACGAACUCCCUUGUGUGGGUCUCUGAUCUCAGCAGC
This 261-nucleotide unclassified non-coding RNA is filed under the name Hevea brasiliensis (rubber tree). Lineage: Eukaryota; Viridiplantae; Streptophyta; Magnoliopsida; Malpighiales; Euphorbiaceae. The record is from RNAcentral.